This 66-nucleotide unclassified non-coding RNA is filed under the name Trypanosoma cruzi. RNAcentral's name for it is "spliced leader RNA, 5' partial". Lineage: Eukaryota; Euglenozoa; Kinetoplastea; Trypanosomatida; Trypanosomatidae. The record is from RNAcentral.
AAGGUUCCAACCCGCCUUUGGGGGUUAUGUUUGGUCAAUUUUUUUUGACCGGGGUUUACGGACCCC